CAGGCCUAACACAUGCAAGUCGAACGAGAUCUUUCGGGGUCUAGUGGCGCACGGGUGCGUAACGCGUGGGAAUCUGCCCUUGGGUUCGGAAUAACAGCGAGAAAUUGCUGCUAAUACCGGAUAAUGACGUAAGUCCAAAGAUUUAUCGCCCAGGGAUGAGCCCGCGUAGGAUUAGCUAGUUGGUGGGGUAAAGGCCUACCAAGGCGACGAUCCUUAGCUGGUCUGAGAGGAUGAUCAGCCACACUGGGACUGAGACACGGCCCAGACUCCUACGGGAGGCAGCAGUGGGGAAUAUUGGACAAUGGGCGAAAGCCUGAUCCAGCAAUGCCGCGUGAGUGAUGAAGGCCCUAGGGUUGUAAAGCUCUUUUACCCGGGAUGAUAAUGACAGU
This 389-nucleotide ribosomal RNA is filed under the name uncultured bacterium. Its description in RNAcentral is "bacterial SSU rRNA". It matches the Rfam family "Bacterial small subunit ribosomal RNA", at positions 43 to 458 of the family's 1533-position model. The record is from RNAcentral.